CCGAAGCUGUGAACCGAAGCCCCAGUAAACGGCGGCCGUAACUAUAACGGUCCUAAGGUAGCGAAAUUCCUUGUCAGGUAAAUUCUGACCCGCACGAAUGGCGUAACGACUUGGGCGCUGUCUCAACGAGAGAUCCGGUGAAAUUUUAAUACCUGUGAAGAUGCAGGUUACCCGCGACAAGACGGAAAGACCCCAUGGAGCUUUACUGCAGCUUGAUAUUGGAUUUGGGUACGAUCUGUACAGGAUAGGUGGGAGCCUAAGAAGCAUGAGCGCCAGCUUGUGUGGAGGCGACGUUGGGAUACCACCCUGAUCGUAUCUAGGUUCUAACCUGGUACCGUAAUCCGGUACGGGGACAGUGUCAGGCGGGCAGUUUGACUGGGGCGGUCGCCUCCUAAAGAGUAACGGAGGCGCCCCAAGGUUCCCUCAGAAUGGUUGGAAAUCAUUCGAAGAGUGCAAAGGCAUAAGGGAGCUUGACUGCGAGACCUACAAGUCGAGCAGGGACGAAAGUCGGGCUUAGUGAUCCGGUGGUACCGCAUGGAAGGGCCAUCGCUCAACGGAUAAAAGCUACCCUGGGGAUAACAGGCUUAUCUCCCCCAAGAGUCCACAUCGACGGGGAGGUUUGGCACCUCGAUGUCGGCUCAUCGCAUCCUGGGGCUGAAGUAGGUCCCAAGGGUUGGGCUGUUCGCCCAUUAAAGCGGUACGCGAGCUGGGUUCAGAACGUCGUGAGACAGUUCGGUCCCUAUCUGUCGUGGGCGUAGGAAAUUUGAGAGGAGCUGUCCUUAGUACGAGAGGACCGGGAUGGACGUACCGCUGGUGCACCAGUUGUUCCGCCAGGAGCAUGGCUGGGUAGCUACGUACGGACGGGAUAAGCGCUGAAAGCAUCUAAGCGUGAAGCCCCCCUCAAGAUGAGAUUUCCCAGUAUGUAAGACCCCUUGAAGACGACGAGGUAGAUAGGUUGGAGGUGGAAGUGCAGCAAUGCAUGGAGCUGACCAAUACUAAUCGGUCGAGGGCUUAUCCAA
RNAcentral lists this ribosomal RNA (1019 nucleotides) under Paenibacillus sp. FSL H8-457. RNAcentral describes it as "bacterial LSU rRNA". It matches the Rfam family "Bacterial large subunit ribosomal RNA", at positions 1899 to 2925 of the family's 2925-position model. The record is from RNAcentral. Lineage: Bacteria; Bacillati; Bacillota; Bacilli; Caryophanales; Paenibacillaceae.